GACGAACGCUGGCGGCGUGCUUAACACAUGCAAGUCGAACGGAAAGGCCCUGCUUUUGUGGGGUGCUCGAGUGGGGAACGUGGGAGUAACACGUGAGUAACCCGCCCUUGACUUUGGGAUAACAUCAGGAAACUGGGGCUAAAACCGCAUAGGAUCUCCUGCUGCGUGUGGGGGGAUGGAAAGCUUUGGCGGUUGGGGAUGGACUCGCGGCUUAUCAGCUGGUUGGUGGGGUAGUGGCUUACCAAGGCUUUGACGGGUAGCCGGCCUGAGAGGGUGACCGGCCACAUUGGGACUGAGAUACGGCCCAGACUCCUACGGGAGGCAGCAGUGGGGAAUAUUGCACAAUGGGCGGAAGCCUGAUGCAGCAACGCCGCGUGCGGGAUGACGGCCUUCGGGUUGUAAACCGCUUUCGCCUGUGACGAAGCGUGAGUGACGGUAAUGGGUAAAGAAGCACCGGCUAACUACGUG
RNAcentral lists this ribosomal RNA (468 nucleotides) under uncultured bacterium. Its description in RNAcentral is "partial 16S ribosomal RNA". It matches the Rfam family "Bacterial small subunit ribosomal RNA", at positions 28 to 507 of the family's 1533-position model. The record is from RNAcentral.